UUGAAAAAAAUCAGAAAACAGCCGUAUACUUGCUGAAUGCGCACAAAAACAGACACAAAUCCCCGGGCCCCCCGGGCCAUCAAACCCCCGGGCCAUCAAACUGUACAACUCCUCACUGGGGGGGAGGAGGGCAAACAAGCAAACAAAAAAUAAAAAAAACGUGCUGUGUAUGGAUGCUGGAGCUGUUAAUUUCCCCGAGGGAACCUCCCAAAGGGAUUAAUAAAGUCGUCUGUCUGUC
This is a long non-coding RNA of Solea solea (common sole), 238 nucleotides long. RefSeq lists it as uncharacterized. The transcript is spliced from 2 exons. NCBI's taxonomy places the organism in Eukaryota, Metazoa, Chordata, Actinopteri, Pleuronectiformes, Soleidae. The record is from RefSeq and is a predicted model, not a curated record.